Molecule: ribosomal RNA, 899 nt
Filed under: Olax emirnensis
Lineage: Eukaryota; Viridiplantae; Streptophyta; Magnoliopsida; Santalales; Olacaceae
Description: eukaryotic LSU rRNA
Rfam family: Eukaryotic large subunit ribosomal RNA
Source: RNAcentral
AGAAACUUACGAGGAUUCCCCUAGUAACGACGAGCGAACCGGGAAGUGCCCAGCUUGAAAAUCGGGCAGCCCCGCCAUCCGAAUUGUAGUCUGUAGAAGCGUCCUCAGUGGCAGACCAGUCCCGAGUCCCCUAGAAGGGGGCGCCGGAGAGGGUGAGAGCCCCGUCGUGACCGAACCCUGUCGCACCACGAGGCGCUGUCGGCGAGUCGGGUUGUUUGGUAAUGCAGCCUCAAGUGGGCGGUAGAUUCCGUCCAAGGCUAAAUACGGGCGAGAGACCGAUAGCAAACAAGUACCGCAAGGGAAAGAUGAAAAGGACUUUGAAAAGAGAGUCAAAGAGUACUUGAAAUUGUCGAAAAGGAAGCAAAUGGGGGUCAGCGAUGCGCCUCUGUCGAAUGUGGAACGGUGUCGAGCCGGUCUGCCGAUCGACUUGGGGUGUGGAUCGACGUGGAUUGUGGCGGCAAACAAAGCCGGGCAGUUGCAUAUGCCAGCGGAGAUGUCGUCGCGAUCAUGGUGGGCAGAGCGCUUCGCCACGGCGUGCUUCGGCACCUGUGCGCCCCGAAUGUCGGCCAACGGGCUCCCCAUUCAGCCCGUCUUGAAACACGGACCAAGGAGUCUGACAUGUGUGUGAGUCAACGGGCGAGUAAACCCGUAAGGCGCAAGGAACGUGACUGGCGGGAUCCCCCCGUGGGCUGCACCAUCGACCGACCCUGAUCUUCCUCGAAUGGUUCGAGUAAGAGCAUACCUGUCGGGACCCGAAAGAUGGUGAACUAUGCCUGAGCGGGGCGAAGCCAGAGGAAACUCUGGUGGAGGCCCGCAGCGGUUCUGACGUGCAAAUCGUUCGUCUGAUUUGGGUAUAGGGGCGAAAGACUAAUCGAACCGUCUAGUAGCUGGUUCCCUCC